UAAAUUUUUUGCGCUAAUUUGCCCACCAAUUUAGUAGGGAAAAACUCACACUCUAAAAUAUUACGUAUUUCAUGUCGGGACCACAAAUGUUACGUAAUUCUGUUCGUAAUUUCCUCUCUAGGUAUGAUUACUCUAAGGAUACGGCAACUAAGUGUAAGAAAUUUUUGUGUACGGCG
Bradysia coprophila is the source of this 176-nucleotide long non-coding RNA. Lineage: Eukaryota; Metazoa; Arthropoda; Insecta; Diptera; Sciaridae. The record is from RefSeq and is a predicted model, not a curated record.